ACGGGGGGAGCAAGCGUUGUUCGGAUUUACUGGGCGUAAAGGGCGCGUAGGCGGCCUCCGCAAGUCAGUUGUGAAAUCUCCGAGCUUAACUCGGAAAGGUCAACUGAUACUGCGGGGCUAGAGUGCGGAAGGGGCAACUGGAAUUCUUGGUGUAGCGGUGAAAUGCGUAGAUAUUGGGAGGAACACCAGUGGCGAAGGCGGCUUUUUGGUCUGUAACUGACGCUGAGGCGCGAAAGCGUGGGGAGCAAACAGGA
This 254-nucleotide ribosomal RNA is filed under the name uncultured prokaryote. Its description in RNAcentral is "partial 16S ribosomal RNA". It matches the Rfam family "Bacterial small subunit ribosomal RNA", at positions 525 to 777 of the family's 1533-position model. The record is from RNAcentral.